Molecule: long non-coding RNA, 1211 nt
Organism: Rosa chinensis
Lineage: Eukaryota; Viridiplantae; Streptophyta; Magnoliopsida; Rosales; Rosaceae
Exons: 7
Source: RefSeq, a predicted model, not a curated record
CAAGCCUCUCUCAAACCCAACAAUUGUUUCGUUCUUUCUUUCGAGUGAAAUGGUGCUGCCGCAGGCCGUUUACUCAGGAAAGAAAAGAAAACUCAAGAAUCAUACAAUUGUGAAUGGCAGCGGCGAAACACAUCUGGAUGGUUCGAGGACAAGGUGUUGACUCUUUGACAAUGGUGACAGGAGCAGGGUUGACAACCUGUGUCGCAUCAGUCUCCGGUAUUGCCCCCCCCCCCCCAAUCCCCUCCCAAACCCAACAAAAUUAUGGAGAUUGAAAUCGGCUUUGAACUUCUUGUCACUGGCUCUUUUGGCUUCAACAAUUUCAGCACAAGGAUCCCCUACCUAUACACAUUCCCUUCUCUUGACGCCUCAACAGCUGUUGAACUCAGAAGACAAUUAAGAAUUUCAAGGGUCUUCUUUCAUGAGGCAGCAGAUGGCAAGCAAGUCUUAAACAACUGCAAGGGUGUGUUGUCCUUUUUGUUGUUCAAGCUGCAAGGGAAUGUUGAAGAUGUGCUUUGAUUUCCUCUUCGAAACAGAGUCCCUUCCAUCUCCAUAUCAUCCGAUUCUGGCAACUGUGAAUGGCAUCUUACGCGGGUCCGAUGAAAAGUUUUGAGCUGAGAAUGGCAGGAGGAGGCCAUGCAAUCUCAGAUAUGGGAACCACGUAGUCGCCAAUAGCAGUUUGGGAACAGAAACAGGAUUAUGUACAUAACAUAGUGAACGAUCAAGGCAGCAUGAGCACCUCAUAUUUUGUUGCAUUCACUGAUGCUAAGAUGGUAAUAGGAGAUGCAGCAUUUAACCAGAUCAUUACACACCCUGCCAACACAAUUUUUGAAGAUCUGAUGCUGAGGGUCUUUCUGAUGGGGCAUCAUUUAUCAUUCCCAGCACCCAUGUCCUUACUGGGUUAUCAGUCCAGCCUUUCGGAAAGAUUUUCGUAUCCCUCAAGGCAGUAAGAACAACACCUCUGUGGCUAUCUGUUGUAAAGGGCUGUAGCAUCUCAAAUAAAAGGAUUCCCAAGCUGUAUAUAUCAGCCUUGACAUCUGCAUCAGCAGUCUUCCUCUCAGGUGCUCUAUAAGCUUGCGUUCCAAGGAACUGCAGAAACACAGAGAACUGUUAGCUCCACAUACAACAUAAAAUCUCACUGAUGUUACUUCUUUUCAUGCAUUCUGAUUUGUAACUCAUUAAUCUUGAGGACUGUGGCUUGGAAGCAAAACGAA